Long non-coding RNA from Rosa rugosa (rugosa rose), 1674 nucleotides. RefSeq lists it as uncharacterized. The transcript is spliced from 3 exons. NCBI's taxonomy places the organism in Eukaryota, Viridiplantae, Streptophyta, Magnoliopsida, Rosales, Rosaceae. The record is from RefSeq and is a predicted model, not a curated record.
ACAAAAUAUACCACUGGCACCUCUCCCUCCCUCCCGUUAUCCAAUCUCGUCUGAACCCUUUUCGACCCUUCUCUCUCCCUCAAUUUCGCUCCCAAUUUGAUAAUGCGAUUGCAAUCGCCGCGAUUUGAGUCACCAUUUCUGAAUUCGUCGGGGUUUGAUCGGACUAGGAAUUUAUGACAUCGCGGUGGCGACGGAGGAGGAGGCUAGGUUAGGAUUUUGAGUUUUUGGGAGCUAUCUGCUCGAAAUUGGUGACAAUGGCGCCGAGGCUCGGCUCCGGCGACGUUUUUGAUAGCUACAGCUCCGACCUUGGAUCGAUGACUGAUCGCUUAGGGUUCCGGUCCUCCCAUUCGCUCUCAAAACGCCUUCAAUGUUGUGAUUCGCUCACUUGAAGAGUACCGGUUUGCUAAGCAAGAGGAUGAAGAGAUACGGAUUUGGUCGAAGGUCUCCUCAGCCCAUGGAUGGUUUGUAUUUUCAACACUAACAGCAUCUUUUACUGUUUUGAUUUCUUAAUUUUUGUGUUGCGUAGUUGAUCUGGAUAAUUGAGGUUUCUGCGAAAUUGGUGCAGUUGUGUGAUUAGAGUGUAAGUGAAUGGAUUUUUUGUAGGCUUUUGUUUGAUACAUGUUGAUUACAGAUGAAGCAUAGACGUAAUGUUUAGAAUUUCAUGUCCUGCUGCUUGCUGGGAUCUCAUUGAGUCUAUGAAAUCUGUAACAUGUGCAUCUUUACAUGGUCUUGUUUUUGUUUUGAUUUUUAUGGCAUUUGAUGUUUAUAGUAGCUCAAGUAGAGCCGGCUAGUAUAGUUGAUAAUCAGCCAAUGGAGGAGCUAGCCUCUAACCGUGAAAUUCACUUGGACAAUUGAGAACUUGUCUAGGUUGAACGCCAAAAAGCACUACUGUGACAUUUUCAUUGUUGGUGGUUAUAAAUGGUAUUCUUCCCUUGACAAUCAUCGUAUGGUCUAAUUUAGCUCUUGAGCUAGAGAUGGGAUUUUACUAGCACAGGGAUGUGUUAUUUGUAUAAAUUUGUAUUCUUAUGCUUCUUUGGGAUUUAGGUAGUUUUCAUAGUAUUUUAUAUUCUAGAAAAUGUAUUCAAUCAAAGAUGAUGGUUGCCAUGAUUCUUUUGUGUUGAUGGUGCCAAUUUCGAGUUGGUUGGCUUUAAAAAUGCAGAUUGGCUAUUGCCUUGUCCAUGGGGUCAGCAUGGCGUAGACAACAACUAUUCAUUCUCAUCCACUGAAGAGAGAUGGAAAGGCUUAUAAGAAGCCAAAACGUCCUCAUGAGAAGGAACAUUUGGAUGUUGAGCUGAACCUUGUUGGAGAAUAUGGGCUUCGGUGCAAGAGGGAGUUGUGGAGGGUCCAAUAUGCUUUGAGCCUCAUCUGUAAUGCUGUCAGGAAAUUUCUUACCCUGGACGAGAAAAAUCCUUGCCAUAUCUUUGAGGGUGAGGCUCUUCUACGUACGCAGGAUGAACAUGUAUGGGCUCCUAGAAGAGAGCCAGAACAAGCUCGAUUAUGUCCUUGCACUCACUGUCCAGAACUUCCUUGAGAGGCGUCUUUAGACCCAGUUGUGGUUAUUUUUUGUUUUGUUUAAUGUGCUUAUCAGAGGUUGUCUAAUUGGAAAAGGUGUUGUGGUUGUACUUUGACUAAAAUCACUUGAAAUCUUCUUACUAAUGAUUGAGCUUACAAUUU